RNAcentral lists this ribosomal RNA (492 nucleotides) under uncultured bacterium. RNAcentral describes it as "partial 16S ribosomal RNA". It matches the Rfam family "Bacterial small subunit ribosomal RNA", at positions 29 to 507 of the family's 1533-position model. The record is from RNAcentral.
AGUGAACGCUGGCGGUAGGCCUAACACAUGCAAGUCGAACGGCAGCACAGUAAGAGCUUGCUCUUACGGGUGGCGAGUGGCGGACGGGUGAGGAAUACAUCGGAAUCUACUUUUUCGUGGGGGAUAACGUAGGGAAACUUACGCUAAUACCGCAUACGACCUACGGGUGAAAGCAGGGGAUCUUCGGACCUUGCGCGAUUGAAUGAGCUGAUGUCGGAUUAGCUAGUUGGCGGGGUAAAGGCCCACCAAGGCGACGAUCCGUAGCUGGCCUGAGAGGAUGAUCAGCCACACUGGAACUGAGACACGGUCCAGACUCCUACGGGAGGCAGCAGUGGGGAAUAUUGGACAAUGGGCGCAAGCCUGAUCCAGCCAUACCGCGUGGGUGAAGAAGGCCUUCGGGUUGUAAAGCCCUUUUGUUGGGAAAGAAAAGCAGCAGGUUAAUACCCCGCUGUUCUGACGGUACCCAAAGAAUAAGCACCGGCUAACUUCGUG